RNAcentral lists this long non-coding RNA (334 nucleotides) under Gossypium raimondii (Peruvian cotton). Its description in RNAcentral is "long non-coding RNA (GRAI_LNC009309)". Lineage: Eukaryota; Viridiplantae; Streptophyta; Magnoliopsida; Malvales; Malvaceae. The record is from RNAcentral.
UGAACAGAUGGUGUGAAAAGAAUUAUGUUGCUUUAAGGAGAGGAUCGACCAUGUCUUGGAAAGUUGAAUGGCUGCUGUCUCUUGGCCGAAUAGUUGCCUUGGGGAGAACCAAAAUUAAUCAGCUUCAAUGCAUUAUACCAGCUGCACAUGCAUCUUCACAUUUAUUGAAUCUACGUGCAUGCAUCUAGCCAAUGAAUCUUCAAAUUCGGCUGCACCUAAAUAAAAACACAUGAACUUAAUUCAAACAAAUUCAGCUGAACUAAAUUAAAACAUAAUGUGAACACUCUAAUUGACAUUGUGACAAAUUAAAUAUUAACUAAACAAGACACAUUAA